UACAGAGGGUGCAAGCGUUGUCCGGAAUGAUUGGGCGUAAAGCGUCUGUAGGUGGCUCGUAAAGUCUAAUGUCAAAUACCAGGGCUCAACCUUGGACCGGCAUUAGAGUACUCACGAGCUUGAGUAUGGUAGAGGCAGAGGGAAUUCCAAGUGGAGCGGUGAAAUGCGUAGAGAUUUGGAGGAACACCAGUGGCGAAGGCGCUCUGCUGGGCCAAAACUGACACUGAGAGACGAAAGCUGGGGGAGCGAA
Molecule: ribosomal RNA, 250 nt
Filed under: uncultured bacterium
Lineage: Bacteria
Description: partial 16S ribosomal RNA
Rfam family: Bacterial small subunit ribosomal RNA
Source: RNAcentral